This 71-nucleotide transfer RNA is filed under the name Deltaproteobacteria bacterium CG2_30_63_29. Its description in RNAcentral is "tRNA-Cys". It matches the Rfam family "tRNA". Rfam says of the family: Transfer RNA (tRNA) molecules are approximately 80 nucleotides in length. Their secondary structure includes four short double-helical elements and three loops (D, anti-codon, and T loops). Further hydrogen bonds mediate the characteristic L-shaped molecular structure. tRNAs have two regions of fundamental functional importance: the anti-codon, which is responsible for specific mRNA codon recognition, and the 3' end, to which the tRNAs corresponding amino acid is attached (by aminoacyl-tRNA synthetases). tRNAs cope with the degeneracy of the genetic code in two manners: having more than one tRNA (with a specific anti-codon) for a particular amino acid; and 'wobble' base-pairing, i.e. permitting non-standard base-pairing at the 3rd anti-codon position. The record is from RNAcentral. Lineage: Bacteria; Deltaproteobacteria.
GGCGACGUGGCCGAGUGGUUAGGCAGAGGCCUGCAAAGCCUUGUACAACGGUUCGAGUCCGCUCGUCGCCU